UACGUAGGGGGCUAGCGUUGUUCGGAAUUACUGGGCGUAAAGGGCGCGUAGGCGGCCCGCUAAGUCGAACGUGAAAUCCCCAGGCUCAACCUGGGAACUGCGUCCGAUACUGGCAGGCUUGAAUCCGGGAGAGGGAUGUGGAAUUCCAGGUGUAGCGGUGAAAUGCGUAGAUAUCUGGAGGAACACCGGUGGCGAAGGCGGCAUCCUGGACCGGUAUUGACGCUGAGGCGCGAAAGCUAGGGGAGCAAACGGG
RNAcentral lists this ribosomal RNA (253 nucleotides) under uncultured bacterium. RNAcentral's name for it is "partial 16S ribosomal RNA". It matches the Rfam family "Bacterial small subunit ribosomal RNA", at positions 524 to 776 of the family's 1533-position model. The record is from RNAcentral.